Molecule: ribosomal RNA, 504 nt
Filed under: uncultured bacterium
Lineage: Bacteria
Description: bacterial SSU rRNA
Rfam family: Bacterial small subunit ribosomal RNA
Source: RNAcentral
AGAGUUUGAUCCUGGCUCAGAUUGAACGCUGGCGGCAGGCUUAACACAUGCAAGUCGGGCGGUAACAGGGAGAAGCUUGCUUCUCUGCUGACGAGCGGCGGACGGGUGAGUAAUGUAUGGGGAUCUGCCUGAUGGAGGGGGAUAACUACUGGAAACGGUAGCUAAUACCGCAUAAUGUCCACGGACCAAAGCGGGGGACCUUCGGGCCUCGCACCAUCAGAUGAACCCAUAUGGGAUUAGCUAGUAGGUGGGGUAAUGGCUCACCUAGGCGACGAUCUCUAGCUGGUCUGAGAGGAUGACCAGCCACACUGGAACUGAGACACGGUCCAGACUCCUACGGGAGGCAGCAGUGGGGAAUAUUGCACAAUGGGCGCAAGCCUGAUGCAGCCAUGCCGCGUGUAUGAAGAAGGCCUUCGGGUUGUAAAGCUCUUUCACCGAUGAAGAUAAUGACGGUAGUCGGAGAAGAAGCCCCGGCUAACUUCGUGCCAGCAGCCGCGGUAAUUC